Orcinus orca (killer whale) is the source of this 602-nucleotide long non-coding RNA. RefSeq lists it as uncharacterized. The transcript is spliced from 3 exons. The record is from RefSeq and is a predicted model, not a curated record. Lineage: Eukaryota; Metazoa; Chordata; Mammalia; Artiodactyla; Delphinidae.
CUCACAGCAUGGAAGCUUCAGAGCCAUCAGAAUGCUUACGUGGAGCUUAGAAUUUCCGAUGCAUCCCCACCAAAGACUAAGGAAAGGACUCAGAAUACUUUUCAGUAGGACCUGAUGGUAGACAUGUGGGUGCUUCCAUGCGAUGGCAGAGACAUUUCUUCUCACCACAUAUCACGUGCCCUGCCAUGUUUCCCAGUCCCCUUGCAGGUAUAUAGUGGAGUUUUCCAGAGGUUGUAUGUUGUGUAAUGUUGCACUGGAGUGAACACAGGAGCAAUGGUGAGAAUCUACCUGUCUUCUGUUAACCGAGAUCUUGAAGAGAUUUGCAAAACUGUAAAGCAAUGCCACUCUCCUAGGCUGAAAUUUUUGUUUUGGAGAGUAUCAUUGUUUUUCCUAAAAAUGUGUUAUGUGUGACUAUGUAGUGGGAUUAUUACAUUAUUUUAAAUGAAUUAAUAAAUAAAUAUUUAAAAUGUUUCAUAGUUUUAAUUUCAAAUAUGGGAAAUGUCAAUAGAUACAACUCAAAGUCAACAAAAGCUCUUUGGGGUCUUAGGUGAUUUUCAAGGUUAAAGAGGGUUCCGAGGCCAAGGAAUUUGAGAAUCAUAGCU